GUGAACUGUAGCUCAGUGGUAGAGCAGCUGCCUUGCAUGCGGGUCCCUGGUUCAAUCCCCAGCAUCUCCA
Molecule: non-coding RNA, 70 nt
Organism: Podarcis lilfordi (Lilford's wall lizard)
Lineage: Eukaryota; Metazoa; Chordata; Lepidosauria; Squamata; Lacertidae
Source: the annotation of a GenBank genome assembly